GUGGGGGAUAUUGCACAAUGGGGGAAACCCUGAUGGUGCAACGCCGCGUGGAGGAUGAAGGUCUUCGGAUUGUAAACUCCUGUCAUCCGAGAGUAAGACCUGGCGGUGAAUAGCCGACAGGGUUGAUAGUAUCGGAAGAGGAAGGGACGGCUAACUUCGUGCCAGCAGCCGCGGUAAUACGAAGGUCCCAAGCGUUGUUCGGAAUCACUGGGCGUAAAGGGAGCGUAGGCGGCAUGGUAAGUCAGGUGUGAAAUCCCGGGGCUCAACCCCGGAACUGCACCCGAUACUGCCAUGCUAGAGGGUUGGAGAGGUGACUGGAAUUCUCGGUGUAGCAGUGAAAUGCGUGGAUAUCGAGAGGAACACUCGUGGCGAAGGCGAGUCACUGGACAACAUCUGACGCUGAGGCUCGAAGGCUAGGGGAGCAAAAGGGAUUAGAAACCCGUGUAGUCC
RNAcentral lists this ribosomal RNA (450 nucleotides) under uncultured bacterium. RNAcentral describes it as "partial 16S ribosomal RNA". It matches the Rfam family "Bacterial small subunit ribosomal RNA", at positions 354 to 796 of the family's 1533-position model. The record is from RNAcentral.